This is a long non-coding RNA of Salvia splendens (bonfire salvia), 260 nucleotides long. RefSeq lists it as uncharacterized. NCBI's taxonomy places the organism in Eukaryota, Viridiplantae, Streptophyta, Magnoliopsida, Lamiales, Lamiaceae. The transcript is spliced from 3 exons. The record is from RefSeq and is a predicted model, not a curated record.
UCUCCCACACGUUUUUCCCUCUCUCUUUCUCUCCUUCUCCGCCAAUCCUUCACUAAUUCCUUGUUCUUGCAUCAUUUUGGAGUUGGAAACUCAAGAUUCAUCGAAGAAUCGCAUCAUUCGUCAUUCCUACCGAUUGUUUUUCAAGAGAAAGGGUUGUUGUGCGUACGUGGGCACAAGGAACAAGGGUUGCUUUGAGUUGUGUUUUGUGUUAUCUAAGCAAGCGAGGUUGUGUACACAGGUGGGAUCGGGAGCCGUCCUUG